Molecule: transfer RNA, 91 nt
Filed under: Schizosaccharomyces japonicus
Lineage: Eukaryota; Fungi; Ascomycota; Schizosaccharomycetes; Schizosaccharomycetales; Schizosaccharomycetaceae
Also listed under: 1 other name
Description: SJAG_16092.1
Rfam family: tRNA
About the family: Transfer RNA (tRNA) molecules are approximately 80 nucleotides in length. Their secondary structure includes four short double-helical elements and three loops (D, anti-codon, and T loops).
Source: RNAcentral
GGCCUAUUAGUGUAGUGGUUAACAUACCUCUUUCGGGUUCUACCCCCUUCGGGAAUAGAGGUGAUCCCUGGUUCGAAUCCUGGAUAGGCCC